This 68-nucleotide transfer RNA is filed under the name human gut metagenome. It matches the Rfam family "tRNA". Rfam says of the family: Transfer RNA (tRNA) molecules are approximately 80 nucleotides in length. Their secondary structure includes four short double-helical elements and three loops (D, anti-codon, and T loops). The record is from RNAcentral. RNAcentral also lists the same sequence under 1 other name.
CGGUGUAGCUCAAUUGGCAGAGCAGCUGAUUUGUAAUCAGCAGGUUGCGGGUUCAAGUCCCUUCACCG